This 542-nucleotide small RNA is filed under the name Pan troglodytes (chimpanzee). RNAcentral's name for it is "retained intron". The record is from RNAcentral. Lineage: Eukaryota; Metazoa; Chordata; Mammalia; Primates; Hominidae.
UCAUAUGAACUCUCCCGCCACCCGGGAACAGUGGCUGCCACCGUUUGUGUUUUCCCGAGUUUGAAUUCUUGCAGGUGACCAAGAUGGAGUUUUCUGGAAGAAAGUGGAGGAAGCUGAGGUUGGCAGGUGACCAGAGGAAUGCUUCCUACCCUCAUUGCCUUCAGUUUUACUUGCAGCCACCUUCUGAAAACAUAUCUUUAAUAGAAUUUGAAAACUUGGCUAUUGAUAGAGUUAAAUUGUUAAAAUCAGUUGAAAAUCUUGGAGUGAGCUAUGUGAAAGGAACUGAACAAUACCAGAGUAAGUUGGAGAGUGAGCUUCGGAAGCUCAAGUUUUCCUACAGAGAAAACUUAGAAGAUGAAUAUGAACCACGAAGAAGAGAUCAUAUUUCUCAUUUUAUUUUGCGGCUUGCUUAUUGCCAGUCUGAAGAACUUAGACGCUGGUUCAUUCAACAAGAAAUGGAUCUCCUUCGAUUUAGAUUUAGUAUUUUACCCAAGGAUAAAAUUCAGGAUUUCUUAAAGGAUAGCCAAUUGCAGUUUGAGGCU